GACGAACGCUGGCGGCGUGCUUAACACAUGCAAGUCGAACGGAAAGGCCCCUUUGGGGGUACUCGCGUGGCGAACGGGUGAGUAACACGUGAGUAACCUGCCCUUGACUUCGGGAUAACUUCAUGCAACUGGGGCUAAUUCCGGCUAGAAAUGCUUGCUGCCUGGAGGGGGUUGGAAAGAUUCGGCGGUUUGGGAUGGACUCGCGGCUUAUCAGCUUGUUGGUGGGGGAGGGGCUUACCUAGGCUUUGACGGGGAGGCGGCCUGGGAGGGCGACCGGCCACAAUGGGACUGAGAAACGGCCCAGACUCCUACGGGAGGCAGCAGGUGGGAAUAUUGCACAAUGGGCCGAAGCCUGAUGCAGCAACGCCGCGGGCGGGAUGACGGCCCUCGGGUUGUAAACCGCUUUCAGCAGGUGCGAAGCUUGUGGUGACGGUACCUGCAGAAGAAGCACCGGCUAACUACGUG
Molecule: ribosomal RNA, 465 nt
Filed under: uncultured bacterium
Lineage: Bacteria
Description: partial 16S ribosomal RNA
Rfam family: Bacterial small subunit ribosomal RNA
Source: RNAcentral